ACCCGUUUUUGUGGCUUUUUUCCGCUGGACGAACUUGGCGCCCCGGCCUUCGGGCGGUUAUUUUUGGGUGCGGCUUUGGCCACGCCCUAGUUUUGGCACACGGAGGCCCCUCGUAAAGUCUCGCGGCUUUCCGAGUCCGGCGGACGAAGCUGGCCGUCCCACCCCCCAAGGCUAUAGCCCACCCGUUUUUGUGGCCUUUUUCCGCUGGACGAACUUGGCGCCCCGGCCUUUUGGCUGUUAUUUUGGGGCGCGGCUUUGCCCGCGGCCUAUUUUUGGCACACGGAGGCCCCUCGCAAAGUCUCGCGGCAUUCCGAGUUCGGCGGACGAAGUUGGCCAGCCCCACCCCCCAAGGCUAUACCCCACCCGUUUUCGUGGCCUUUUUCCGUUGGACGAACUUGGCGCCCCGUCCUUCGGGCUGUUUUUUUUGGGUACGGCUUGGCCCGCGGCCUAUUUUUCACACACGGAGGCCCCUCGCAAAGUCUCGUGGCAUUCCGAGUCCGGCGGACGAAGUUGGCCAGCCCCACCCCCCAAGGCUAUAGCCCACCCGUUUUUGUGGCCUUUUUCCGCCGGACGAAAUUGGCGCCCCGGCCUUCGGGCGGCUAUUUUUGGGCGCGGCUUUGUCCGCGGCCUACUUUUGACACACGGAGGUGCCUUGCAAAGUCUCGCGGCAUUCCGAGUCUGGCGGACGAGGUUGGCCAGCCCCACCCCCCAAGGCUAUAGCCCACCUGUUUUUGUGGCCUUUUUCCUCUGGACGAACUUGGCGCCCCGGCCUUCGGGCGGUUAUUUUUGGGCGCGGCUUUGCCCACGGCCUAUUUUUGGUACACGGAGGCCCCUCGCAAAGUCUCGCGGCAUUCCGAGUCCGGCGGACGAAGUUGGCCAGCCCCACCACCCAAGGCGAUAGCCCACCCGUUUUUGUGGCCUUUUUCCGCUGGACGAACUUGGCGCCCCGGCCUUCGGGCGGUUAUUUUUUGGCGUGGCUGUGCCCGCGGCUUAUUUUUGGCACACGGAGGUGCCUCGCAAAGUCUCGCGCCAUUCCGAGUCCUGCGGACGAAGUUGUCCAGCCCCACCCCCCAAGGCUAUAGCCCACCCGUUUUUGUGGCCUUUUUCCGCUGGACGAACUUGGCGCCCCGGCCUUAGGGUGGUUAUUUUUGGGCGCGGCUGUGUCCGCGGCCUAUUUUUGGCACACGGAGGCCCCUCGAAAAGUCUCGCGGCA
RNAcentral lists this long non-coding RNA (1213 nucleotides) under Citrus x clementina. RNAcentral's name for it is "Citrus clementina (C. clementina) long non-coding RNA (CCLE_LNC006264)". The record is from RNAcentral. Lineage: Eukaryota; Viridiplantae; Streptophyta; Magnoliopsida; Sapindales; Rutaceae.